RNAcentral lists this ribosomal RNA (468 nucleotides) under uncultured bacterium. RNAcentral's name for it is "partial 16S ribosomal RNA". It matches the Rfam family "Bacterial small subunit ribosomal RNA", at positions 28 to 507 of the family's 1533-position model. The record is from RNAcentral.
GACGAACGCUGGCGGCGUGCUUAACACAUGCAAGUCGAACGGAAAGGCCCUGCUUUUGUGGGGUGCUCGAGUGGCGAACGGGUGAGUAACACGUGAGUAACCUGCCCUUGACUUUGGGAUAACUUCAGGAAACUGGGGCUAAUACCGGAUAGGAGCUCCUGCUGCAUGGUGGGGGUUGGAAAGUUUCGGCGGUUGGGGAUGGACUCGCGGCUUAUCCGCUUGUUGGUGGGGUAGUGGCUUACCAAGGCUUUGACGGGUAGCCGGACUGAGAGGGUGACCGGCCACAUUGGGACUGGGAUACGGCCCGUACUCCUACGGGAGGCAGCAGUGGGAAAUAUUGCACACUGGGCGGAAGCCUUAUGCAGCAACGCCGCGUGCGGGAUGACGGCCUUCGGGUUGUAAACCGCUUUCGCCUGUGACGAAGCGUGAGUGACGGUAAUGGGUAAAGAAGCACCGGCUAACUACGUG